GAUGAACGCUGGCGGCGUGCUUAACACAUGCAAGUCGAACGAAGCAUUUUACCGGAACAUUUUCGGAUGGGAAGUUAAAAUGACUGAGUGGCGGACGGGUGAGUGACGCGUGGAUAACCUACCAUAUACAGGGGGACAACAGUUGGAAACGACUGCUAAUACCGCAUAAGCGCACAGUGCCGCAUGGCACGGUGUGAAAAACUCCGGUGGUAUAUGAUGGAUCCGCGUCUGAUUAGCUAGUUGGUGAGGUAAUGGCCCACCAAGGCAACGAUCAGUAGCCGACCUGAGAGGGUGACCGGCCACAUUGGGACUGAGACACGGCCCAAACUCCUACGGGAGGCAGCAGUGGGGAAUAUUGCACAAUGGGCGAAAGCCUGAUGCAGCGACGCCGCGUGAGCGAAGAAGUAUUUCGGUAUGUAAAGCUCUAUCAGCAGGGAAGAAAAUGACGGUACCUGACUAAGAAGCCCCGGCUAACUACGUGCCAGCACGG
This 490-nucleotide ribosomal RNA is filed under the name uncultured bacterium. RNAcentral's name for it is "bacterial SSU rRNA". It matches the Rfam family "Bacterial small subunit ribosomal RNA", at positions 28 to 516 of the family's 1533-position model. The record is from RNAcentral.